UACGAAGGGUGCAAACGUUGCUCGGAAUUAUUGGGCGUAAAGCGCACGUAGGCGGCAUUGCAAGUCGGAUGUGAAAUCCCUCGGCUUAACCAAGGAAGUGCAUCCGAAACUGCAGUGCUUGAGUACUUAAGAGGAUCGCGGAAUUCCCGGUGUAGAGGUGAAAUUCGUAGAUAUCGGGAGGAACACCAGUGGCGAAGGCGGCGAUCUGGGAAGAUACUGACGCUGAGGAGCGAAAGCGUGGGGAGCGAACAGG
This 253-nucleotide ribosomal RNA is filed under the name uncultured bacterium. Its description in RNAcentral is "partial 16S ribosomal RNA". It matches the Rfam family "Bacterial small subunit ribosomal RNA", at positions 524 to 776 of the family's 1533-position model. The record is from RNAcentral.